Molecule: microRNA precursor, 197 nt
Filed under: Oryza sativa Indica Group (long-grained rice)
Lineage: Eukaryota; Viridiplantae; Streptophyta; Magnoliopsida; Poales; Poaceae
Description: MIR812 microRNA precursor family
Rfam family: MIR812 microRNA precursor family
Source: Rfam by way of RNAcentral
AAUAAGUGCAGCCGUGGAUAUCUGUGCCCAACGUUUGACCGUCCAUCUUAUUUAAAAAAUUUGAAAAUAUUUAGUCACACAUAAAGUACUAUUCAUGUUUUAUCAUCUAAUAGCAAUAAAAAUACUAAUCAUAAAAUUUUUUCAAAUAAGACGAACAGUCAAAUAUUGAACAUGAAUAGUACAAAACUGUACUUAUU